GAUGAACGCUGGCGGCGUGCCUAAUACAUGCAAGUCGAGCGAACAGACGAUGAGCUUGCUCCUCUGACGUUAGCGGCGGACGGGUGAUUAACACGUUGAUAAGCUACCUAUAAGACUGGGAUAACUUCGGGAAACCGGAGCUAAUACCGUAUAACAUGUUGAACCGCAUUAUUCAACAGUGAAAGACGGUCUGGCGGUCACUCAUACAUGGAUCCUCGCCGCAUUAGCUAGUUGGUAAGGUAACGGCUUACCAAGGCAACGAUGCGUAGCCGACCUGAGAGGGUGAUCGGCCACACUGGAACUGAGACACGGUCCAGACUCCUACGGGAGGCAGCAGUAGGGAAUCUUACGCAAUGGGCGAAAGCCUGACGGAGCAACGCCGAGUGAGUGAAGAAGGUCUUCGGAUCGUAAAACUCUGUUAUUAGGGAAGAACAAAUGUGUAAGUAACUAUGCACGUCUUGACGGUACCUAAUCAGAAAGCAACGGCUAACUACGUG
This 497-nucleotide ribosomal RNA is filed under the name uncultured bacterium. Its description in RNAcentral is "partial 16S ribosomal RNA". It matches the Rfam family "Bacterial small subunit ribosomal RNA", at positions 28 to 507 of the family's 1533-position model. The record is from RNAcentral.